This is a long non-coding RNA of Clupea harengus (Atlantic herring), 740 nucleotides long. Lineage: Eukaryota; Metazoa; Chordata; Actinopteri; Clupeiformes; Clupeidae. The record is from Ensembl.
GCAUAAGUUGUUUGACAUCGGUCUGAUUGUAUAUGGCCGACAAAAAGACUGCUCUUGUCUAAUUACUACCACGAAUGAAUGAAUGUAUGCUGGAUGUGUGUAUGCCAUGCUGAGGUGUGUGUGUAUACUGAGGUGUGUGUGUAUGCUGUGGUGUGUGUGUAUACUGAGGUGUGUGUAUGCUGAGGUGUGUGUAUUAUGUGGUGUGUGUAUGUUGAGGUGUGUGUAUUAUGUGGUGUGUGUAUGCUUAGGUGUAUGCCAUGCUGAGGUGUGUGUAUGUUGAGGUGUGUGUGUAUACUGAGGUGUGUGUGUGUAUGCCAUGCUGAGGUGUGUGUAUGCCAUGCUGAGAUGUGUGUAUGCCAUGCUGAGAUGUGUGUGUAUGCUGAGGUGUGUGUAUACUGAGGUGUGUGUAUACUGAGGUGUGUGUGUGUAUGCCAUGCUGAGGUGUGUGUAUGCCAUGCUGAGAUGUGUGUAUGCCAUGCUGAGGUGUGUGUAUGUUGAGGUGUGUGUGUAUACUGAGGUGUGUGUGUGUAUGCCAUGCUGAGGUGUGUGUAUGCUGAGAUGUGUGUAUGCCAUGCUGAGGUGUGUGUAUGCCAUGCUGAGAUGUGUGUGUAUGCCAUGCUGAGGUGUGUUUGGCCACCAGACUGGGUGUCAGCAGAGGGAUCACUGACUGCACAAAACAAAACCACAUUAGCAUUCAUUCAUGUAGCAGACAUUAUUAUCUAAAGCAACUAUCAGUACAG